This is a non-coding RNA of Salmo salar (Atlantic salmon), 54 nucleotides long. The record is from Rfam. Lineage: Eukaryota; Metazoa; Chordata; Actinopteri; Salmoniformes; Salmonidae.
UGCGCUCUCUAUUGUAAGUCACUCUGGAUAAGAGCGUCUGCUAAAUUACUGAAA